This 158-nucleotide ribosomal RNA is filed under the name Ascomycota sp. MUT 4926. Its description in RNAcentral is "5.8S ribosomal RNA". It matches the Rfam family "5.8S ribosomal RNA". From Rfam's summary of the family: 5.8S ribosomal RNA (5.8S rRNA) is a component of the large subunit of the eukaryotic ribosome. It is transcribed by RNA polymerase I as part of the 45S precursor that also contains 18S and 28S rRNA. Functionally, it is thought that 5.8S rRNA may be involved in ribosome translocation. Lineage: Eukaryota; Fungi; Ascomycota. The record is from RNAcentral.
AACUUUCAACAACGGAUCUCUUGGUUCUGGCAUCGAUGAAGAACGCAGCGAAAUGCGAUAAGUAAUGUGAAUUGCAGAAUUCAGCGAAUCAUCGAAUUUUUGAACGCACAUUGCGCCUCAGGGUAUUCCUUGAGGCAUACCUGUUCGAGCGUCGUUUA